RNAcentral lists this long non-coding RNA (302 nucleotides) under Hordeum vulgare. RNAcentral's name for it is "long non-coding RNA (HVUL_LNC013331)". Lineage: Eukaryota; Viridiplantae; Streptophyta; Magnoliopsida; Poales; Poaceae. The record is from RNAcentral.
UACCUGCUGGGAGUUUCGGAGGAAUCCGUGAGCCACGGGGACUCAGCAAUCUAAGACCUUGGUGCCAGAACUAGUCAUGUUAUUGGGUAAGGAAGGGGUGAAGUGUUUCAGGCUGCUGCAUCCUAAGGUUGAAUAAGUGGCUAGCUUACGCAAAGGAGAAGUGACAGUGUUCUAUACUAACGAUCGUGAAUACUUGAUCAGAAAGUGAUCCUGAACACCUACCUACGGCAUUCAUAACCCCACCGUGUUCCCGAUCGAAGAGAGAUCUUCGAAGGGACAGUCACGGUUACGCACACAGUUGG